AGUGACAGACAUGGAACUAGAAUUCUUUCUUAACUCUCUCUUCUUUGCACUUUGCUCUCCAAUUCCUUCCUCCUCUUAUUCAUUUAACAAAUAGUAUGGAGCCCCUGGAGUAGGAAAUGGCAACCCACUCCAGAAUUUCUGCCUGAAAAAUUCCAUGGAUGCAGGAAACCAGUGGGCUACAGUCCAUGGGGUCACAAAGAGUGGCAUGACUAAGAAAACACACACACACUCACAUGGAGCCCCUACCACAUGCCAAUCACUGCUCCAUGUGCUGGGCCUGCAGUAAGUGAGUGAGAAAGACGUGCUUCCUGCCUGCCGGACUUUCUAAUGGAGGGGAGGAGGCAGAGAAUAAAAGCAUCAGCAAAUCAAUCAGUUGGAUGAUUGGAGCGAGCUGUGUGUCCUAAAGAAAGCAGAAGGGUCAGAGUAGCUUGGCCCCGUUCCGGGGGUUGGCCAGGGAAGGCCACCCUGAACAGAUGACCCGGGAGGGGACCCAGAGUGAGAAGAAGCCAGCCACAAGGUCAGAGAGGAACGUUCCAGGCAGAAGGAAGAGCAACAGCCAGGCUGUACUUCCUCCCAGACUCAACUCCUUGCUCCACUCUGAACAAGAGAACCACACACUGGAAGAGUUUCACAUUCCUGUGGGGAGGGCAGGACCAGAAGAAAUAGGUCCAUUCUACUGAAGAGGAAGAAGAGGGAGCUGAGGAGUGAUGGUAACCACUGUGAUUUCUCCAGCACUUACUUUAUGCCCAGCCCUGCAUUAUCUUGUUCAUCUCUCAUCGGCACUGUGAAGAAAGGACUAUUAGCACCAACGUUUUCCAGACAGGUCAGAUCUGAAGCGCAUUCCUUUUGACGCCAUGCCACCGUGAGCUUCCAAAACAAGAUCGGCUCUCAGGCAAGCCUCUGAAUGGGUCACAAAAUUCAAAGCAGAACCGAAUGAAGCCAAGUUGCCAGGCAUGAUAUAGAAAGCUCUGUUGUGCAUCUAUAGAGAGACUUAACACACCCUGUUCUAGUGUAGUAAUUUAACCAGUGUGGCUGAAAAACUUAGCUCUCAUCUUUUGAAUAAACCUUUAUAGAAACACUGCAAGUUAGAAUCGUGUUUGUGUCAGAUCAUAACUUAUCAUUUCUGGAAUGAAAUUCUCAAAUAUAUGUCCUUUGGAGUUCUUCCAAGAAGCUUCCUACAGAGUUCCAGAUGAAGAGAAUAACCUAAAAGAUAAUAUCAAGAUUGUCCUCCAGAAGACCAGAUUCCCCUCCCAGGGACACUGACACAGAUUUCAUGAAAGUUUUCAUAGAAUUUUCUUCAGAUCUGCCAUGUUUGGCAUUUGUUUCCAUGCCCUUAAUAUCUACUGAAUUCCUAAUAUUAUUGUUAUCUGCAUUUUUAUUAUUCAGUUUUCAUUUGUCACCAUAUCAAGUGAAAGUAGCUAGAUGGAUGGUCACCAAAUUCAGUGGGAAUGUUGGUGAGCAUCUUGUAUAGAAUAUAUAGGCUGUGUAAGAAACAAAAUUUAUUUUGCAGGGCUCAGGUGGGGGGCAUCACAAAGAGUAGGGAGGUCACUUAGACCCUGGAGGGAUGGCUGUUCAAGAGAAACAAGCCAGGACUUCCCUGGUGGUCCAGUGAUUAAGAAUCUGCCUGCCAGUGCAGGGGACACAGGUUCAAUCCCUGGUCCAGGAAGACCUCACAUGCUGCAAGACAACUAAGCCUGUGUGCCGCAACUGCUGAGCCCUCACUUCGGAGCCCACGCAUUGUAACUACUGAAGCCAGCAUGCUGUAGAGCCCACGCUCCACAAGACAAGCCACUGCAGUGAGAAGUCCACACACUGCCACUAGAGAACGCCUAUGCACAGCAAGGAAGGCCCAGUGCAGCCAAAAAAAGAGAGACAAGCCAUAGUCCUGAGAAAGCUAUAGGAAGAGAAACACACAGAGGGAUUUGAAUCUGACUCCCAUAUUGCAAGUCACAAGGGCAGACACUCUGAAUCACAGCAUUGAUUUGUGAUGGAGCUGGUUCCCACACGGGCCACUCCAUGGAGCAUGAUCCAGGGAUGUGUUUCUUAAUAACUCUAAUGACAUUGGCAACAACACCAGGGCCACACCUCCAGCAGGCCUGUCUUGGAGUGUUAUUCCCGAGCUAUAGUGAUUGGGGAGCAUUUCUGCUUAGUGUUGCACAGCGGUUCUCAAGCUUUCUUUCGUCUCUGUACCUUUACCCUCUCAGUUUAUUAGAAAUUCGAACUGAGAAGAAUAUUCUAAAACUUUAUGGGGUAACUUAGCUGGUAAAGAAUCCACCUGUAAUGCAGGAGACCUGGGUUCAAUCCCUGGGUUGGGAAGAUCCCCUGGAGAAGGGAAAGGC
Long non-coding RNA from Bos taurus (domestic cattle), 2339 nucleotides. NCBI's taxonomy places the organism in Eukaryota, Metazoa, Chordata, Mammalia, Artiodactyla, Bovidae. The record is from Ensembl.